Molecule: small nuclear RNA, 147 nt
Filed under: Sinocyclocheilus grahami
Lineage: Eukaryota; Metazoa; Chordata; Actinopteri; Cypriniformes; Cyprinidae
Description: U2 spliceosomal RNA (ENSSGRG00000017979.1)
Rfam family: U2 spliceosomal RNA
About the family: U2 is a small nuclear RNA (snRNA) component of the spliceosome (involved in pre-mRNA splicing). Complementary binding between U2 snRNA (in an area lying towards the 5' end but 3' to hairpin I) and the branchpoint sequence (BPS) of the intron results the bulging out of an unpaired adenosine, on the BPS, which initiates a nucleophilic attack at the intronic 5' splice site, thus starting the first of two transesterification reactions that mediate splicing.
Source: RNAcentral
AUCUGUUCUUAUCAGUUUAAUAUCUGAUACGUCCCCUAUCCGGGGACUGCAUAUUAAAUGGAUUUUUGGAUCAUGGAGCUGGAGCCGGGGCUUGCUCUGCCCACUCCAUGCAUCGGUCUGGUAUUGCAGUAUCUCCAGAAACGGUGU